UGGGGAUUUUAGUAUUCAAGUUGGUAACUCUGAUUAUUGAAUCCUUUCAAUACUUAAUUUCCUCUUAACAGAUUAAAGAAUCUGAAAUAACAGUUACAAUAGAAGAUAACACCACACCCAGAUCAAAACUAUCCUCCUUAAUGCUAAAAGUAGUCACUUUAGACCAACAUCUUUGAUGGCUAGGAUUGCAGUCUGAGCUCCAGGACCAGGAUG
Molecule: long non-coding RNA, 213 nt
Filed under: Rhinopithecus bieti (black snub-nosed monkey)
Lineage: Eukaryota; Metazoa; Chordata; Mammalia; Primates; Cercopithecidae
Description: lncRNA (ENSRBIG00000046557.1)
Source: RNAcentral